UUAAAGUCAUUAGACUGGUUCGGACAUAAGUUCAAACAAGUGGUUUGGCUGGGGCUUCGGGCAGACUAACCAGCCAGCGGCGAACCGCAGGUGCGCUGCCUAAGCAAAGGGGACGUUUCACGGAGGGUUGACGCGUGGGCCCGGCUGGCCAUUCCCUCCCGUCUCUUAAUUCAAUGGUCUCGGAUGAAAUUGUACUGAUUGUACGCUCUCUCCUGUUUACAGAUUCCACAUGCACCUGCAAUGGUUGUGCAAUUUGCAGGCAGUGGGCCGGAAAUGCGAUGACGGGAGUUCCUGGCAGCUCGUGCUUUCGCAGUCGGCUUUUGAAAGCCACGCUUUUUAAUGAUCCUUCCGCAGGUUCACCUACGGAAA
Molecule: unclassified non-coding RNA, 369 nt
Filed under: uncultured fungus
Lineage: Eukaryota; Fungi
Description: sequence contains ITS1
Source: RNAcentral